Molecule: ribosomal RNA, 1150 nt
Filed under: uncultured bacterium
Lineage: Bacteria
Description: bacterial SSU rRNA
Rfam family: Bacterial small subunit ribosomal RNA
Source: RNAcentral
ACAUAUUCUUUUACGGGGUGGCAACAGUGGGAAAAUUGGACAUGGCACCGAUCCAAGCGAUCCGCCUGAGGAGAGACUUCGGAUCGUAAGCUCUUUAGAUUGGAAGAACGGUGAUAGAGGAAUGCUAUCACUUGACGUACGACAGAAUAGCACCAGCAAACUCUGUGCAGCAGCGCGUAAUACAGAGGGUGCGAGGCGUAAUCGGACUACUGGGCGUAAAGGCGCGUAGGCGGUGAUAUGAGUGUGAUGUGAAAGCCCCGGGCCUUAACCUGGGAAGUGCAUCGCAAACGAUAUGACUGGAGUAUAUGAGGAGGGUGGCGGAAUUUCCGGUGUAGCGGUGAAAUGCGUAGAGAUCGGAAGGAACGUCAAUGGCGAAGGCAGCCACCUGGCAUAAUACUGACGCUGAGGCGCGAAAGCGUGGGGAGCGAACAGGAUUAGAUACCUGGUAGUGCACGCUGUAAACGAUGAGGACUAAAUGUUGCUAGGGGAACCUAGCAGUAUUGAAGCUAACGCGAUAAGUCUUCCGCCUGGGAAGUACGGCCGCAAGGUUGAAACUCAAAGGAAUUGACGGGGGCCCGCACAAGCGGUGGAGCAUGUGGUUUAAUUCGAUGCAACGCGAAGAACCUUACCUACCCUUGACAUCCUGCGAAUCCCGAUGAGAGUUGGGAGUGCCGAAAGGAACGCAGAGACAGGUGCUGCAUGGCUGUCGUCAGCUCGUGUUGUGAGAUGUUGGGUUAAGUCCCGUAACGAGCGCAACCCUUGUCCUUAGUUGCCAGCAUUAAGUUGGGGACUCUAAGGAGACUGCCGGUGAGGAACCGGAGGAAGGCGGGGACGACGUCAAGUCAUCAUGGCCUUUAUGGGUAGGGCUACACACGUGUUACAAUGGGGCGUACAGAGGGUCGCCAACCCGCGAGGGGGAGCCAAUCUCUUAAAGCGUCUCGUAGUCCGGAUUGGAGUCUGCAACUCGACUCCAUGAAGUUGGAAUCGCUAGUAAUCGCGAAUCAGCAACGUCGCGGUGAAUACGUUCCCGGGCCUUGUACACACCGCCCGUCACGUCAUGGGAGUGGAUGGUACCAGAAGUGGGUAGUUUAACCGUAAGGGAAACGCCUACCACGGUAUGAUUCAUGACUGGGACGAAGUGGUAACAAGG